This 444-nucleotide ribosomal RNA is filed under the name uncultured bacterium. RNAcentral describes it as "bacterial SSU rRNA". It matches the Rfam family "Bacterial small subunit ribosomal RNA", at positions 330 to 792 of the family's 1533-position model. The record is from RNAcentral.
GCCAGACUCCUACGGGAGGCAGCAGUGGGGGAUAUUGCACAAUGGAGGAAACUCUGAUGCAGCGACGCCGCGUGAGGGAAGACGGUCUUCGGAUUGUAAACCUCUUUCUUUGGGGAAGAAAAUGACGGUACCCAAAGAGGAAGCUCCGGCUAACUACGUGCCAGCAGCCGCGGUAAUACGUAGGGAGCGAGCGUUGUCCGGAAUUACUGGGUGUAAAGGGAGCGUAGGCGGGCGAGAAAGUUGAAUGUUAAAUCUGCCGGCUUAACUGGUAGCUGCGUUCAAAACUUCUUGUCUUGAGUGAAGUAGAGGCAGGCGGAAUUCCUAGUGUAGCGGUGAAAUGCGUAGAUAUUAGGAGGAACACCAGUGGCGAAGGCGGCCUGCUGGACCGUGACUGACGUUGAGGCUCGAGAGCGUGGGGAGCAAACAGGAUUAGAUACCCCUGUA